GUACACGCUGUGACUAGCAUAUCAAUAAGCGGAGGAAAAGAAACUAACAAGGAUUCCCCUAGUAACGGCGAGUGAAGCGGGAAGAGCUCAAAUUUGAAAUCUUAAAGGGUUUCCCUUUACGAAUUGUAGUUUAAAGAAGUGUUUUCUGUUGAGGUUUUGGUAAAAGUUCUUUGGAAUAGGACAUCAUAGAGGGUGAGAAUCCCGUAUUUGACCUUUACUUUCAACUUUGUGAUACACUUUCAAAGAGUCGGAUUGUUUGGGAAUGCAGUCCAAAAUGGGUGGUAAAUUUCAUCUAAAGCUAAAUAUUGGCGAGAGACCGAUAGCGAACAAGUACCGUGAGGGAAAGAUGAAAAGAACUUUGAAAAGAGAGUUAAACAGUACGUGAAAUUGUCAAAAGGGAAGCAUUUGACACCAGCGUUGUUUUUCUGAAAAUCAAUUAAAGAACUGUUUAUGCUAAGCUGUUUAGACUUUAUCAGCUAUCUGUUUAGUUUUGAGCUUUUCUUUAAUGCACUUUUCAGUUAACAAGUCAACAUCAAUUUCUUUUGCUGUAAAAAAGCUUGAGGAAGGUGGCUUGAGAUUCGUCUUAAGUGUUUAUAGCCUCUUGCCUAUGCAGUCGGAGAGAUUGAGGUCUGCAGCGUAGAUCCUUCGGGGCUAAAUGCAUUUGUGCUAAGUUAUAGCAUUUUAUAGACAACUUGUUGACUAUGAUUUGUCUUGUAGCUUACUCGCUUAUGUUAUUUUACCUACGCUUAGGAUGUUGAUAUGCAUGACUGAUAU
This 774-nucleotide ribosomal RNA is filed under the name uncultured Neocallimastigales. RNAcentral's name for it is "partial large subunit ribosomal RNA". It matches the Rfam family "Eukaryotic large subunit ribosomal RNA", at positions 22 to 641 of the family's 3401-position model. The record is from RNAcentral. Lineage: Eukaryota; Fungi; Neocallimastigomycota; Neocallimastigomycetes; Neocallimastigales.